UACCCGCUGAACUUAAGCAUAUCAAUAAGCGGAGGAAAAGAAACCAACAGGGAUUGCCUCAGUAACGGCGAGUGAAGCGGCAAAAGCUCAAAUUUGAAAUCUGGCUGCUUUUUUAGUAGUCCGAGUUGUAAUUUGAAGAAUAGAUCCUUGGAGAGGCGCCUUGUCUAUGUUCCUUGGAACAGGACGUCGCAGAGGGUGAGAAUCCCGUUUGGCGAGGUGUGCUGAUCCGUGUAAGGGCUGUUCGACGAGUCGAGUUGUUUGGGAAUGCAGCUCUAAGUGGGUGGUAAAUUCCAUCUAAAGCUAAAUAUUGGCGAGAGACCGAUAGCGAACAAGUACAGUGAUGGAAAGAUGAAAAGAACUUUGAAAAGAGAGUGAAAAAGUACGUGAAAUUGUUGAAAGGGAAGGUUAUUAGAUCAGACUUGGAUUUUUUAUUAUAUUUGUCUCCUUGUGGGGCAUUCACUAAUUUUUAAUCCAGGCCAGCAUCGAUUGGGAUGGCGGGAAAAAGAGGGAGGAACGUGGCUGUGCAUUUAUGUGCAGUGUUUAUAGCCUUUCUUAAUACCGCCUGUCUCGAUCGAGGACUGCGGCAAAUUUAUUUUUGCCUAGGAUGCUGGCGUAAUGAUCUAAUAUCGCCCGUCUUGAAACACGGAC
Molecule: ribosomal RNA, 648 nt
Filed under: Barnettozyma californica
Lineage: Eukaryota; Fungi; Ascomycota; Saccharomycetes; Phaffomycetales; Phaffomycetaceae
Description: eukaryotic LSU rRNA
Rfam family: Eukaryotic large subunit ribosomal RNA
Source: RNAcentral